AGGGAUUAGCCUUCACUAACACUUGAAAGGAGUCCAGGAGGUGAACUACUCACAACCCUCUUUCUGAUUGGGAUAUGAAUCUUGGUCUUUUUUAUAUAAAAUAAUUAAUAAAAGUAUGAGCUACACUAGUUUAGUAAGAAUAUCACACUAAUAACUGAUACAAAAAACUGAAGGUUGGUAAAAAUCACAACAUAACUAAUGGAGCCCUUAAUUUAAGUAAAUACUUUUAACUCUAAAAU
RNAcentral lists this long non-coding RNA (239 nucleotides) under Carica papaya (papaya). Its description in RNAcentral is "long non-coding RNA (CPAP_LNC011450)". The record is from RNAcentral. Lineage: Eukaryota; Viridiplantae; Streptophyta; Magnoliopsida; Brassicales; Caricaceae.